GUUUCUGUAGUGUAGUGGUCAUCACGUCCGCCUCACACGCGGAAGGUCCUCGGUUCGACAUCAAGCAGAAACA
Non-coding RNA from Synchiropus splendidus (mandarinfish), 73 nucleotides. The record is from the annotation of a RefSeq genome assembly. NCBI's taxonomy places the organism in Eukaryota, Metazoa, Chordata, Actinopteri, Syngnathiformes, Callionymidae.